AACGUAGGUUCCGAGCGUUAUCCGGAUUUACUGGGCGUAAAGCGCGUUCAGGCGGUUUGGCAAGUCGGGCAUGACAUCUCUGGGCUCAACCUGGAGAGGUUGUCCGCUACUGCUAAACUGGAGGGCAGUAGAGGGUGGUGGAAUUCCGGGUGUAGUGGUGAAAGGCGUAGAGAGCCGGAGGAACACCAGUGGCGAAAGCGGCCACCGGGACUGCACCUGACGCUGAAACGCGAAAGCGAGGGGAGCGAACGGG
RNAcentral lists this ribosomal RNA (253 nucleotides) under uncultured bacterium. RNAcentral's name for it is "partial 16S ribosomal RNA". It matches the Rfam family "Bacterial small subunit ribosomal RNA", at positions 524 to 776 of the family's 1533-position model. The record is from RNAcentral.